GUUCUACAGUGCGACGUUCUGGAACUGGCUGCCAUUUGUAUUGCCUUGGAAAAGUUUUCUGAACAACCUGUUAAUAUUGUCACUGAUUCUUGUUAUGCUGCAGGGUUAGUUUCACGUCUGGAAUGUUCGUUUCUUCAGGAUGUUUCUAACCCUCAUUUGUUGUUUGAAAUGCGUUCUAUUUGGUUUCUUGUCAAUCACAGAAGGUUUGAUUUUUACAUAAUGCACAUCAGGUCUCACACUGACAUGCCAGGGCCAAUAGCUGAAGGGAUCCGGGAAGCUGACAAGGCAGCAAUGUUCAACACAGUACCCAGGACCCUUGAGCAAGCAAAAUUGUCCCAUUCAUUUUUUCACCAGAAUGCACGCUCUCUAAAAAGACAAUUCAAAAUUACAAUUAAUCAGGCUCGAGAUAUUAUAUUGACUUGUCCAGACUGUCAAAAAAUAACCCCCAUGCCAUCUCAGGAAGGCGUUAACCCCAGAGGGUUAAUAUCCAAUGAGAUCUGGCAAACAGAUGUCACACACAUUCCCGAAUUUGGCACCUUGAAAUAUGUACAUGUAACUGUAGACACACACUCACAGUACAUCACUGC
Molecule: long non-coding RNA, 587 nt
Organism: Chiroxiphia lanceolata (lance-tailed manakin)
Lineage: Eukaryota; Metazoa; Chordata; Aves; Passeriformes; Pipridae
Exons: 3
Source: RefSeq, a predicted model, not a curated record